Small nuclear RNA from Nycticebus coucang (slow loris), 145 nucleotides. RefSeq annotates it as U4 spliceosomal RNA. The record is from RefSeq and is a predicted model, not a curated record. The transcript has a single exon. NCBI's taxonomy places the organism in Eukaryota, Metazoa, Chordata, Mammalia, Primates, Lorisidae.
AGCUUUAUGCAAUGGCAGUGUUGCAUAUGGCCAAUGAGGUUUAUCUGAGGCACAAUUAUUGCUAAUUGAAAACUUUUACCAAUACCCUGCCCUGACAACUUGAAAUAUAGUAGGCUUUGGCAAUUUUUGACAGUCUCUACAGAGA